RNAcentral lists this ribosomal RNA (494 nucleotides) under uncultured bacterium. RNAcentral describes it as "partial 16S ribosomal RNA". It matches the Rfam family "Bacterial small subunit ribosomal RNA", at positions 28 to 507 of the family's 1533-position model. The record is from RNAcentral.
GACGAACGCUGGCGGCGUGCUUAACACAUGCAAGUCGAACGGAAAGGCCUGCUUUCCCUUGUGGAUUGCGGGUACUCGAGUGGCGAACGGGUGAGUAACACGUGAGUGAUCUGCCCCCAACUUGGGUAUAAGCCUGGGAAACUGGGUCUAAUUCCCGAUAGGACUGCAGGGUGGUGCCUGUGGUGGAAAACGAUUUUCUAGUGGUUGGGGAUGAGCUCGCGGCCUAUCAGCUUGUUGGUGGGGUAAUGGCCUACCAAGGCGGCGACGGGUAGCCGGCCUGAGAGGGUGGACGGCCACAUUGGGACUGAGAUACGGCCCAGACUCCUACGGGAGGCAGCAGUGGGGAAUAUUGCACAAUGUGCGGAAGCCUGAUGCAGCGACGCCGCGUGGGGGAUGACGGCCUUCGGGUUGUAAACUCCUUUCGACCGCGAGGAAGCCACCUGGUUGGAAGGGUGGUGACGGUAGUGGUAGAAGAAGCACCGGCUAACUACGUG